Molecule: transfer RNA, 89 nt
Filed under: Tupaia belangeri chinensis (Chinese tree shrew)
Lineage: Eukaryota; Metazoa; Chordata; Mammalia; Scandentia; Tupaiidae
Description: Tupaia chinensis (Chinese tree shrew) tRNA
Rfam family: tRNA
About the family: Transfer RNA (tRNA) molecules are approximately 80 nucleotides in length.
Source: Rfam by way of RNAcentral
CCUUCGAUAGCUCAGUUGGUAGAGCGGAGGACUGUAGUGGGCCUUCAUCAGGCAUCCUUAGGUCGCUGGUUCGAAUCCGGCUCGAAGGA